This is a non-coding RNA of Pelobates cultripes (western spadefoot toad), 243 nucleotides long. Lineage: Eukaryota; Metazoa; Chordata; Amphibia; Anura; Pelobatidae. The record is from the annotation of a GenBank genome assembly.
GCUCAAUGGUUCAUAUAUGGUGGUCCUGCCAUCGAAUCAAAUCUCUCUGGAUGAUUACAUAUGAAUUUAUAAAUAGAUUGGGAGGUUCCUAUUUGGAAUUCAAACCGGAAAUCGCUCUACUCCAUCUUUUGGGCUCAGAAAUAAAGGAUAAUUUUGAUAUUGUGAUCAUACAUUGCUUAAUGGCUGCUAAAAUAUUAAUUGCUAGAUUUUGGAAAAGUUCUGAUAUUCCCACGAGAGAUCAAG